RNAcentral lists this ribosomal RNA (301 nucleotides) under uncultured bacterium. RNAcentral's name for it is "partial 16S ribosomal RNA". It matches the Rfam family "Bacterial small subunit ribosomal RNA", at positions 509 to 809 of the family's 1533-position model. The record is from RNAcentral.
CAGCAGCCGCGGUAAUACGAAGGGUGCAAGCGUUACUCGGAAUUACUGGGCGUAAAGCGUGCGUAGGUGGUGGUUUAAGUCCGUUGUGAAAGCCCUGGGCUCAACCUGGGAAUUGCAGUGGAUACUGGGUCACUAGAGUGUGGUAGAGGAUAGUGGAAUUUCCGGUGUAGCAGUGAAAUGCGUAGAGAUCGGAAGGAACAUCUGUGGCGAAGGCGACUAUCUGGGCCAACACUGACACUGAGGCACGAAAGCGUGGGGAGCAAACAGGAUUAGAUACCCGCGUAGUCCCUGUCUCUUAUAA